UACGUAGGGUGCAAGCGUUAAUCGGAAUUACUGGGCGUAAAGCGUGCGCAGGCGGUUCUUUAAGACAGAUGUGAAAUCCCCAGGCUCAACCUGGGAACUGCACUCGAAACUACUUCCCUUGAGUGUCGGAGAGGAAAGCGGAAUACCUGGUGUAGAGGUGAAAUUCGUAGAUAUCAGGUGGAACGCCAGUGGCGAAGGCGGCUUUCUGGAUGAUAACUGACGCUGAGACGCGAAAGCGUGGGGAGCAAACAGG
RNAcentral lists this ribosomal RNA (253 nucleotides) under uncultured bacterium. RNAcentral describes it as "partial 16S ribosomal RNA". It matches the Rfam family "Bacterial small subunit ribosomal RNA", at positions 524 to 776 of the family's 1533-position model. The record is from RNAcentral.